Molecule: ribosomal RNA, 235 nt
Filed under: uncultured Syntrophus sp.
Lineage: Bacteria; Pseudomonadati; Thermodesulfobacteriota; Syntrophia; Syntrophales; Syntrophaceae
Description: partial 16S ribosomal RNA
Rfam family: Bacterial small subunit ribosomal RNA
Source: RNAcentral
GCCAGUAGAUAAACUGGGAGGAAGGUGGGGAUGACGUCAAAUCAUCAUGCCCCUUAUGACCUGGGCUACACACGUGCUACAAUGGCCGGUACAAAGAGUUGCGAAACUGUGAAGUUAAGCUAAUCUCAUAAAGCCGGUCUCAGUUCGGAUUGUAGUCUGCAACUCGACUACAUGAAGUCGGAAUCGCUAGUAAUCGCGAAUCAGAAUGUCGCGGUGAAUACGUUCUCGAGUCCUU